Molecule: long non-coding RNA, 565 nt
Organism: Mus musculus (house mouse)
Lineage: Eukaryota; Metazoa; Chordata; Mammalia; Rodentia; Muridae
Product: predicted gene, 45966
Exons: 3
Source: RefSeq, a predicted model, not a curated record
UGCCUUUCUACAAGAUUGCUGUGGCUGUGCAGGCUUGAAUGGUUCUCUGUGUCCUGCUCUGAGAUCUGCUGUCGGGUGCAUUGAGGGGACCUCAGGAAGCUCUGAGAUUUAGACAUGGAUGCAGUGACUUUUGACGAUGUGCAUGUGAAUUUCACUAAAGAAGAAUGGAAUUUGAUGGAUCCUUCCCAGAUGAAUCUCUACAAAGAUGUUAUGUUGGAGACCUACUGGAACCUUACUUCUAUAGACUACAAAUGGGAAGACCAUCAUAUUGAAGAACCAUGUCAAAGUUCUCAAAGACAUACAAGGUAAUUUUCAUGUGCAAGCUGAUACAAAUAUGUCUGUGAGGAAAUUGUAAUAAGUCCUGGAAGUUCUAAAGAAAAGCAAGAGUGUCAAAUAUCAGUCCAUUGCCUGUAGGUAUGAUUAUGAUAUUCUCGCAAGUGCGUGUACCUCAGAGCCUAUUAUCUGAUUUGUGGUUCCAGUGCAUUCCUCUAUGAAUGGAAACAAGGAAACAAUGCCUUAAGAGAUCCCUUUAUUUGAUUUGUAGCUCCAUUAAACCUAUGCUAUG